AGAGUUUGAUCCUGGCUCAGAACGAACGCUGGCGGCAGGCUUAACACAUGCAAGUCGAACGGGCUCUUCGGAGCUAGUGGCAGACGGGUGAGUAACGCGUGGGAACCUACCUAUAAGUACGGAACAACACAGAGAAAUUUGUGCUAAUACCGUAUGUGGUCUUCGGAUUAAAGAUUUAUCGCUUAUAGAUGGGCCCGCGUUAGAUUAGCUAGUUGGUGAGGUAAUGGCUCACCAAGGCGACAAUCUAUAGCUGGUCUGAGAGGAUGAUCAGCCACACUGGGACUGAGACACGGCCCAAACUCCUACGGGAGGCAGCAGUGAGGAAUAUUGGACAAUGGGGGCAACCCUGAUCCAGCCAUGCCGCGUGAGUGAUGACGGCCUUAGGGUUGUAAAGCUCUUUCGCUAGGGAAGAUAAUGACGGUACCUAGUAAAGAAGCCCCGGCUAACUUCGUGCCAGCAGCCGCGGUAAUACGAAGGGGGCUAGCGUUGUUCGGAAUCACUGGGCGUAAAGCGCGCGUAGGCGGACUUUUAAGUCAGGGGUGAAAUCCCGGGGCUCAACCUCGGAACUGCCUUUGAUACUGGAAGUCUUGAGUUCGAGAGAGGUGAGUGGAAUACCGAGUGUAGAGGUGA
RNAcentral lists this ribosomal RNA (630 nucleotides) under uncultured Alphaproteobacteria bacterium. Its description in RNAcentral is "bacterial SSU rRNA". It matches the Rfam family "Bacterial small subunit ribosomal RNA", at positions 8 to 684 of the family's 1533-position model. Lineage: Bacteria; Pseudomonadati; Pseudomonadota; Alphaproteobacteria. The record is from RNAcentral.